UGGAAGAAGAUGAUAGAAUUA
This 21-nucleotide microRNA is filed under the name Arabidopsis thaliana (thale cress). RNAcentral describes it as "ath-miR5641". Lineage: Eukaryota; Viridiplantae; Streptophyta; Magnoliopsida; Brassicales; Brassicaceae. The record is from miRBase by way of RNAcentral.